GCAGCUCGGUCCGUAGAGCGUGAGGCUCCGAACCUCAGGCUCGCGGGUUCGAGCCCCACGUUGGGCA
Non-coding RNA from Podarcis lilfordi (Lilford's wall lizard), 67 nucleotides. The record is from the annotation of a GenBank genome assembly. Lineage: Eukaryota; Metazoa; Chordata; Lepidosauria; Squamata; Lacertidae.